AUGGGGUCUCUGAUUUACUGCAGUAUCUGGUUCCAUCGAGAGUUCUCUCCUACCUCCCACCUAUGGAAAACAUGUCUGCUCUUGAGAUUCUCUCUAUCUAGUAGGUUUGGCUGGGUUUUGCCUGUUUUCCUGAAAACAAUGAAAGACGGAAUUAACAGGACAGAGCAAGGUUCUUCCUCUCCCAGGAGUCCCAGAAGAAAGAGGUCAUUCCUCCAGCGCUCCAGGAAAAUAGCAUUGUUGUUACAAACAUAAGCACAUGUUCCCCCCAAAAGGAGUUGAUAUAAAGAGGAAGACAUAAAAGCUAAAAAAAGGGAGAGAUGAAAGAAAAAUUGGUAAGUGAAUGAAAAUGUCCAGGUCCCAGUGAAUGUUUGA
Molecule: long non-coding RNA, 372 nt
Filed under: Fukomys damarensis (Damara mole-rat)
Lineage: Eukaryota; Metazoa; Chordata; Mammalia; Rodentia; Bathyergidae
Description: lncRNA (ENSFDAG00000022060.1)
Source: RNAcentral